AGGAAUACCGGUGGCGAAGGCGGCCCCCUGGACAAAGACUGACGCUCAGGUGCGAAAGCGUGGGGAGCAAACAGGAUUAGAUACCUUGGUAGUCCACGCCGUAAACGAUGUCGACUUGGAGGUUGUGCCCUUGAGGCGUGGCUUCCGGAGCUAACGCGUUAAGUCGACCGCCUGGGGAGUACGGCCGCAAGGUUAAAACCCAAAUGAAUUGACGGGGGCCCGCACAAGCGGUGGAGCAUGUGGUUUAAUUCGAUGCAACGCGAAGAACCUUACCUGGUCUUGACAUCCACAGAAUUCUGCAGAGAUGCGGAAGUGCCUUCGGGAACUGUGAGACAGGUGCUGCAUGGCUGUCGUCAGCUCGUGUUGUGAAAUGUUGGGUUAAGUCCCGCAACGAGCGCAACCCUUAUCCUUUGUUGCCAGCGGUCCGGCCGGGAACUCAAAGGAGACUGCCAGUGAUAAACUGGAGGAAGGUGGGGAUGACGUCAAGUCAUCAUGGCCCUUACGACCAGGGCUACACACGUGCUACAAUGGCGCAUACAAAGAGAAGCGACCCCGCGAGGGCAAGCGGACCUCAUAAAGUGCGUCGUAGUCCGGAUUGGAGUCUGCAACUCGACUCCAUGAAGUCGGAAUCGCUAGUAAUCGUGGAUCAGAAUGCCACGGUGAAUCUUGCUGAAAACUCGAGCCAUCCG
RNAcentral lists this ribosomal RNA (689 nucleotides) under uncultured Cronobacter sp. RNAcentral describes it as "bacterial SSU rRNA". It matches the Rfam family "Bacterial small subunit ribosomal RNA", at positions 702 to 1387 of the family's 1533-position model. The record is from RNAcentral. Lineage: Bacteria; Pseudomonadati; Pseudomonadota; Gammaproteobacteria; Enterobacterales; Enterobacteriaceae.